CAGGUCAGCAUACUGCCGUGAAUACGUUCCCGGGCCUUGUACACACCGCCCGUCACACCAUGAGAGUUGGGAAUACCCGAAGCCUGUGAGCUAACGUUAAGAGGCAGCAGUCGAAGGUAGAAUCAAUGAUUGGGGUGAAGUCGUAACAAGGUACC
RNAcentral lists this ribosomal RNA (155 nucleotides) under uncultured bacterium. RNAcentral describes it as "partial 16S ribosomal RNA". It matches the Rfam family "Bacterial small subunit ribosomal RNA", at positions 1345 to 1500 of the family's 1533-position model. The record is from RNAcentral.